This 350-nucleotide ribosomal RNA is filed under the name uncultured bacterium. Its description in RNAcentral is "bacterial SSU rRNA". It matches the Rfam family "Bacterial small subunit ribosomal RNA", at positions 30 to 374 of the family's 1533-position model. The record is from RNAcentral.
AUUGAACGCUGGCGGCAUGCUUUACACAUGCAAGUCGAACGGCAGCAUGACCUAGCUUGCUAGGUUGAUGGCGAGUGGCGAACGGGUGAGUAAUGCACCGGAACGUACCCAGUAAUGGGGGAUAACGCACCGAAAGGUGUGCUAAUACCGCAUACGCCCUGAGGGGGAAAGCGGGGGAUCGUAAGACCUCGCGUUAUUGGAGCGGCCGAUGCCGGAUUAGCUAGUUGGUGGGGUAAAGGCCUACCAAGGCGACGAUCCGUAGCUGGUCUGAGAGGACGACCAGCCACACUGGGACUGAGACACGGCCCAGACUCCUACGGGAGGCAGCAGUGGGGAAUUUUGGACAAUGG